Molecule: non-coding RNA, 627 nt
Organism: Cinara cedri
Lineage: Eukaryota; Metazoa; Arthropoda; Insecta; Hemiptera; Aphididae
Source: the annotation of a GenBank genome assembly
UUAGGUACUUACUGUACGAGAUUGAUGUUAUUUAUGUUUGCAGAUUUGCAGACUAACCUAACCAAAACGACUAGGACCCUAUCUGUAUAUGCGUAAUCUAUACGAGUAAAUCCAAAACUUGUCAACUAUACAUUAUAAGUACCAAAAGGGCAAACUAUAUCGAUAUUAACCCAUGCAAUUAUUGUCUACCUCUUGAAUUAUGCGAUAUCGUGAGAUAUACGUUGUGUACGCAAUCACUACCGACACGGUAAAUGUUUUGAAAUCGGUAACAAAUCGUUUCUAUAAGUAUAUCAUCGCGUCUAAUGCAUGACGCAAACGAAUAUUUCAUGGGUCAAUCAGUACGAUUUGUUCUUUUAUAGUACCCAUUAUAAUAUAUUUAUACGGAUACCGACUUCGUAUGAUGGUUCAUGGGACUCUUCGUUCAGUUCUAAAGCCAUCUAGUCGUUUUAUGGUACAUGUGUGUUUUAAUUCCGCGACAUGGUUGUAUUUUGUCCCGUGUCUCGGCGUGAAUAUAUCGCAUAACAUUAUCGUUAGGUCCGUAGGUGAUGUGCGCAUUAUAAAUACACUGUUCGUUAAAUAGUACAUAAAUUAUGUUUAAUUUGCUCACAGGCCAUUAGGAUAGUAUAA